GCCUUCGCCGGACUGUGCAUAGCUUGCAAAGUGCUAUGUCGGAUCAAACUUCGCUAGCGAGGCUUAGGCCAAGCGCACUCAGCGAGCUCUGCUCCUUGUGAUAAUGUUCCUUGCGAGCGUUCGCUUCACUUGAUCAGUGCUUGCUAGAAAAGCAUUCGCGAAGUAUUCUUCUCUAGAACUUGCUUCGAGGCCGCGAGCGAACUCGCUCAUGUCCUCGCUCGCCGCCAGUCGCUGAUAUCUCCGUGUGCGACGCUCGCGGUCAUUCGCUUUCGCGCGCGGCCGUUCCUCCUCGGUCAUUUGCUUGCGACCAGUCUUCGCGCCAAUCUGCUCGCGGCCAGUCCUCUGCGGUCACUCGCUUGUGUGGUCGCUUGCCUUCGCUCGUGGGGAAUUGGCUUCGCGGCCGCUCGCGUUAUCGGUCGCUUGCUCAUAGUUUCGCUCGCUGCCAUUUCUUUCGCGGCCACUCGCUCGCGGCCAGUCUUCGCGGUCG
This 487-nucleotide long non-coding RNA is filed under the name Rosa chinensis. Its description in RNAcentral is "sRNA RchiOBHm_Chr3g0488081". Lineage: Eukaryota; Viridiplantae; Streptophyta; Magnoliopsida; Rosales; Rosaceae. The record is from RNAcentral.